Dipodomys spectabilis (banner-tailed kangaroo rat) is the source of this 352-nucleotide long non-coding RNA. RefSeq lists it as uncharacterized. NCBI's taxonomy places the organism in Eukaryota, Metazoa, Chordata, Mammalia, Rodentia, Heteromyidae. The transcript has 3 exons. The record is from RefSeq and is a predicted model, not a curated record.
UGAGAAUCAUGAAGGCAACGCUGAUACUACAGGUUUGUCAGACUGUUGAUUUUUCACCCAUGAAAAAAGGUGAAGGGGUAUCCGACAGUUUAAAUCAUCAUUCAAACGCUGUAGUACUCGGCCUCUAAGAACCAACUGCCAAAUCCCCAAGCUGAACAGCAACCCACGUUUACAGCCUCUCGCAUUAGCCUAGGUGGGUCAUAGAGAUCUGAGUUUCGGGUACCUUUUCCUAGGUUUCCGGGUGAACGGAUGUCAUCCAGAACUUUUGUGCUAACAUCAUCAACUUCACGCUUUCUUCCCUUGGCUGCAGUUUUGUUCGGGCCGCACCAACCCAGAGUAUUGAGACUGAUAC